RNAcentral lists this ribosomal RNA (2918 nucleotides) under Klebsiella pneumoniae. Its description in RNAcentral is "23S ribosomal RNA". It matches the Rfam family "Bacterial large subunit ribosomal RNA". Lineage: Bacteria; Pseudomonadati; Pseudomonadota; Gammaproteobacteria; Enterobacterales; Enterobacteriaceae. The record is from RNAcentral.
GGGUUGUGAGGUUAAGCGACUAAGCGUACACGGUGGAUGCCCUGGCAGUCAGAGGCGAUGAAGGACGUGCUAAUCUGCGAAAAGCGUCGGUAAGGUGAUAUGAACCGUUAUAACCGGCGAUGUCCGAAUGGGGAAACCCAGUGCAAUUCGUUGCACUAUCGUUAACUGAAUACAUAGGUUAACGAGGCGAACCGGGGGAACUGAAACAUCUAAGUACCCCGAGGAAAAGAAAUCAACCGAGAUUCCCCCAGUAGCGGCGAGCGAACGGGGAGCAGCCCAGAGUCUGAAUCAGCUUGUGUGUUAGUGGAACGGUCUGGAAAGUCCGACGGUACAGGGUGAUAGUCCCGUACACCAAAAUGCACAGGUUGUGAACUCGAAGAGUAGGGCGGGACACGUGGUAUCCUGUCUGAAUAUGGGGGGACCAUCCUCCAAGGCUAAAUACUCCUGACUGACCGAUAGUGAACCAGUACCGUGAGGGAAAGGCGAAAAGAACCCCGGCGAGGGAGUGAAAAGAACCUGAAACCGUGUACGUACAAGCAGUGGGAGCACCUUCGGGUGUGACUGCGUACCUUUGUAUAAUGGGUCAGCGACUUAUAUUCUGUAGCAAGGUUAACCGUAUAGGGAGCCGCAGGGAAACCGAGUCUUAACUGGGCGUUAAGUUGCAGGGUAUAGACCCGAAACCCGGUGAUCUAGCCAUGGGCAGGUUGAAGGUUGGGUAACACUAACUGGAGGACCGAACCGACUAAUGUUGAAAAAUUAGCGGAUGACUUGUGGCUGGGGGUGAAAGGCCAAUCAAACCGGGAGAUAGCUGGUUCUCCCCGAAAGCUAUUUAGGUAGCGCCUCGUGAAUUCAUCUUCGGGGGUAGAGCACUGUUUCGGCUAGGGGGUCAUCCCGACUUACCAACCCGAUGCAAACUACGAAUACCGAAGAAUGUUAUCACGGGAGACACACGGCGGGUGCUAACGUCCGUCGUGAAGAGGGAAACAACCCAGACCGCCAGCUAAGGUCCCAAAGUCAUGGUUAAGUGGGAAACGAUGUGGGAAGGCACAGACAGCCAGGAUGUUGGCUUAGAAGCAGCCAUCAUUUAAAGAAAGCGUAAUAGCUCACUGGUCGAGUCGGCCUGCGCGGAAGAUGUAACGGGGCUAAACCAUGCACCGAAGCUGCGGCAGCGACACUAUGUGUUGUUGGGUAGGGGAGCGUUCUGUAAGCCUGCGAAGGUGUGCUGUGAGGCAUGCUGGAGGUAUCAGAAGUGCGAAUGCUGACAUAAGUAACGAUAAAGCGGGUGAAAAGCCCGCUCGCCGGAAGACCAAGGGUUCCUGUCCAACGUUAAUCGGGGCAGGGUGAGUCGACCCCUAAGGCGAGGCCGAAAGGCGUAGUCGAUGGGAAACAGGUUAAUAUUCCUGUACUUGGUGUUACUGCGAAGGGGGGACGGAGAAGGCUAUGUUAGCCGGGCGACGGUUGUCCCGGUUUAAGCAUGUAGGCUGAUUGUCCAGGCAAAUCCGGAUAAUCAAGGCUGAGGUGUGAUGACGAGGCACUACGGUGCUGAAGUAACAAAUGCCCUGCUUCCAGGAAAAGCCUCUAAGCAUCAGGUAACAUCAAAUCGUACCCCAAACCGACACAGGUGGUCAGGUAGAGAAUACCAAGGCGCUUGAGAGAACUCGGGUGAAGGAACUAGGCAAAAUGGUGCCGUAACUUCGGGAGAAGGCACGCUGGUGUGUAGGUGAAGUCCCUGCGGAUGGAGCUGAGACCAGUCGAAGAUACCAGCUGGCUGCAACUGUUUAUUAAAAACACAGCACUGUGCAAACACGAAAGUGGACGUAUACGGUGUGACGCCUGCCCGGUGCCGGAAGGUUAAUUGAUGGGGUUAUCCGUAAGGAGAAGCUCUUGAUCGAAGCCCCGGUAAACGGCGGCCGUAACUAUAACGGUCCUAAGGUAGCGAAAUUCCUUGUCGGGUAAGUUCCGACCUGCACGAAUGGCGUAAUGAUGGCGGGCUGUCUCCACCCGAGACUCAGUGAAAUUGAACUCGCUGUGAAGAUGCAGUGUACCCGCGGCAAGACGGAAAGACCCCGUGAACCUUUACUAUAGCUUGACACUGAACAUUGAGCCUUGAUGUGUAGGAUAGGUGGGAGGCUUUGAAGCGUGGACGCCAGUCUGCGUGGAGCCAACCUUGAAAUACCACCCUUUAAUGUUUGAUGUUCUAACGUUGGCCCCUUACCGGGGUUGCGGACAGUGUCUGGUGGGUAGUUUGACUGGGGCGGUCUCCUCCCAAAGCGUAACGGAGGAGCACGAAGGUUAGCUAAUCCUGGUCGGACAUCAGGAGGUUAGUGCAAUGGCAUAAGCUAGCUUGACUGCGAGCGUGACGGCGCGAGCAGGUGCGAAAGCAGGUCAUAGUGAUCCGGUGGUUCUGAAUGGAAGGGCCAUCGCUCAACGGAUAAAAGGUACUCCGGGGAUAACAGGCUGAUACCGCCCAAGAGUUCAUAUCGACGGCGGUGUUUGGCACCUCGAUGUCGGCUCAUCACAUCCUGGGGCUGAAGUAGGUCCCAAGGGUAUGGCUGUUCGCCAUUUAAAGUGGUACGCGAGCUGGGUUUAGAACGUCGUGAGACAGUUCGGUCCCUAUCUGCCGUGGGCGCUGGAGAAUUGAGGGGGGCUGCUCCUAGUACGAGAGGACCGGAGUGGACGCAUCACUGGUGUUCGGGUUGUCAUGCCAAUGGCACUGCCCGGUAGCUAAAUGCGGAAGAGAUAAGUGCUGAAAGCAUCUAAGCACGAAACUUGCCCCGAGAUGAGUUCUCCCUGAGACUUUAAGUCUCCUGAAGGAACGUUGAAGACGACGACGUUGAUAGGCCGGGUGUGUAAGCGCAGCGAUGCGUUGAGCUAACCGGUACUAAUGAACCGUGAGGCUUAACCUUACAACGCCGAAG